This is a long non-coding RNA of Centruroides sculpturatus (bark scorpion), 1130 nucleotides long. RefSeq lists it as uncharacterized. NCBI's taxonomy places the organism in Eukaryota, Metazoa, Arthropoda, Arachnida, Scorpiones, Buthidae. The record is from RefSeq and is a predicted model, not a curated record. The transcript has 2 exons.
UACUAAAAAGAAUUGUUUUUGCUCUGGAGAAAUGCUAAGUGAAAACAUUGUAUAAUGAAAAACUAAAUUCAAAAAAACACAGUUAAUGAUAUCCACUUUACAUACUUUAGUGAUAUACUAGACAAGGUAAUAAGUGUUGAACUAUAGGCGUUAUGUUGAUAUUUGCGUAUGCUUUUAUAGGUAAAGCACGGCGCCAAGUAUGAAGAAACGAAUUUAAGUUAUUUUGAUGGUGGCGAUCUUCAUACAAUCAGCGUAAAGUCGCCGAAGAGUUUAACAGGCAGCGUUAAGAUUGUUGUGUAUGAUUUAAGGUUUGGAUGUAAACUGUUAAUUUUCUACGACAUCGUAUUGACUGCGAGUACACAACAUCAAAAUAACUUGAGUUCGACUCUCCUUACUCAGCACAAUUAUUUCCUUGUAAAAGAAUGAAGAUAGAUGGAUAUAAUUCCCGUUGAUCUAGACUUACAGGGUACUCCCGUUUAGUAUUAUAAUUUCUCUGAACUUUUUCGCUUACUAAGUAUUAAUAUCUUUAUUCAACGCUGUCUAGAAAGAUUUUUCACUCAAAUGCAACCAAAUCUGGCACGAUGACAUUUCAAGACCUUUCCAAAAAUAAUAAUAAAAUUAAUAGCAAAAUUUUCCACUAUUCCAUUUAUGAUGCUGUAAGCAACAAGCUUUAUUUCUACAAGACAUUCACAUGACACGGAAAUUUUAACGAUGAAGAAAACACUUUUCAAUGCGGUUUUUAUUCUUUUGGUGCAAGAUUUGAAGGCAAUUAAUAUCAACUGUAAUUGAUUUUCUUUAAUAUUUCUAACCCGCAGAGUUAUGCAGUCUUUCAAGACUGCUAAAUUUGUAAUGUGUUCUCGACAAAAUACACUUUAUAAAACUUUAUGACUCAAAUACCCAAUAGUGCCAUAGUGGUGAAUUUCUGUACUAAUUUGCACUUUAGGUAAAUGUCUAAUGCGUGUCCUGAAAUGUCACCAACCAAUUUUGAUUAUAUUUCGACUACUAAGUUGUUCUUUAAACAUCAUUAAAUACAGAUAAUUUCGAUUGAUUGGGGCAAGGGUGAAGAUAAUCCAGUUAGUCGUGUCUACUUCUUUUCUAAAUAUAACAUGGAUGCUACUUGGAAAGAAGAG